This 416-nucleotide ribosomal RNA is filed under the name uncultured bacterium. Its description in RNAcentral is "bacterial SSU rRNA". It matches the Rfam family "Bacterial small subunit ribosomal RNA", at positions 1001 to 1414 of the family's 1533-position model. The record is from RNAcentral.
CCGAAAGGCAGGAGAGCCUGCAAGGGAGCGCGGAGACAGGUGGUGCAUGGCUGUCGUCAGCUCGUGUCGUGAGAUGUUGGGUUAAGUCCCGCAACGAGCGCAACCCUCACCUCUUGUUGCCAUCAGGUCAUGCUGGGCACUCUAGAGGAACUGCCCCGGUCAACGGGGAGGAAGGCGGGGAUGACGUCAAGUCAUCAUGCCCCUUACGUCCUGGGCUACACACGUGCUACAAUGGCCGGUACAAAGGGAUGCCACACCGCGAGGUAGAGCUAAACCCAAAAAGCCGGUCUAAGUUCGGAUUGGAGUCUGCAACUCGACUCCAUGAAGGAGGAAUCGCUAGUAACCGCGUAUCAGCACGACGCGGUGAAUACGUUCCCGGGCCUUGUACACACCGCCCGUCACACCACGAAAGCCAG